Molecule: long non-coding RNA, 1901 nt
Filed under: Melopsittacus undulatus (budgerigar)
Lineage: Eukaryota; Metazoa; Chordata; Aves; Psittaciformes; Psittaculidae
Description: lncRNA (ENSMUNG00000020835.1)
Source: RNAcentral
AAUGAAAGUUGAGAUUAGCAUCUAAUCAUCCUUCGCUUGACAGGCUGAGGUGUUAGGAACACUGAACAUUGACCAGCUUAUGUUGAACUGUUCAGUUUGGACAGACAACAGUGCUUUCGUUCAAGUGGAACUUGGAAGAAGUUCUACUGGGAAAGCACAGGCCCAAGACCAGUGGAAGAGUCUGUGAAGAGACAAAAAGAUCAUGAAAGGAAUGAAACCAGAGAAAGAUGAGACCACAUUGAGGCUUAGCUGGUGGAAUUAGAUACUGUACUUUGGCCUUGUGAAGAGAAGGUAUUUGACUGUUAACAGCUGAAGCACUCCUACACUAGAGGGAGAGUUGGAAAGAACUUUGUUGCUGAGCACUGCCCAGCUGUGGCUGUAGGGUUAAAUUCAACAUUGGUCUUCCAAAGAGAGUAGGAUGUUGAUUUCGUGUUCCUUAGCUCACCAACCGUUGCUGGAGAAGACAAUGUGUUUAGCCUGUACCACUGCCAUAUCUUCUGUUGCCUCCAUCACUCUGUCUUUUCAGCAUUCUUAAGUAGUUCUUCCUCAGUCCCCCCUCUCCCCAGGCAGCCAUUACUGAAUUUAUGAUUCAAAAAAUUUGGGUGAAGAUAAGAGGUACAGUACGAACUGUGGCAUAGACCCUGUAAAGGCACCUGAAAGUGAACUCUAAUGAGCAAGACCAGGUUUUGGAGAAGGGGGAAUUGCAGAGAAGAUGGCACAAGGCUUCUCUCUGAGAUGUGCAGCAACAGGACAAGAGACAAAAGUGAGAAGCUGCAUCCAGGGAAGUUCCAGUUGUGGGAAUAUGUGGUUUUCCCAAGCUCAUGCUUAAAAGAAAGUGAACUGCCAGAUCCUCCUUGCUUGCUUUGGACAAGAGAGUAAAGGUUAGUGUCACAAGAAUGUCAUUGCACUGCUAUUUAAGUGCCCUUUAUUUUAAGGGAUAUCACUAGGUUUUGUGGCAACUGUAUCUUUGCACAUAGCUUAAAAUACAGCUUUCUGUACAAGCUUGUUGCUGCAGAGUAUUUACAUCAGAAAUAGAGAAACAAAAUUAGAGAAAAGAGUCUUUCAUGUGGCUCCAUACAUUUACCUAGUAAAAAGUCUUCACCACUUCAUCUAUUUUGUAACUGUUUUCCAGUACAUCAGCUUUGGCACUUACUCUCGUACUGAAGACCUCAUUAAGUUUCAAAUAACUGCUGUAAUAAAGAACACAAGACACCACCAAUAAUCCAGCACAAAAGUGCUUCUGAUGCAUACUUGAAAACAGUGUUGUUCCAGAACUACGCUGCCCUGAGAUGCAGCAGGGGGAAACAGAGUCAUGGCCCAACAGCAUUACACUCAAACUCUCAGGAGGACACUCAUGCAAGACAGAAGUUCCUUCUGAGCUAACAGUAAGAAGUAAGAUGUUAAACCCAUGUGAUUCCAUGACCUUUAAACAUUACGAUUUACAGAAGUGUUUAUUCAGAUCCUUUUCUAAAGGCUCCUAGUACCUUAUACUUGAGUAUUUUUUUGUCUUUGACUGAUACAUUUGGGUCUUUGGUACUAAACCAACCUGAUUUUUCAAGUAGAAAAUAGUGUUCCCCUAUUUUCUAAAAUGCUUGUUUUUUUGAAGAGGGUACAAUCUGUGGGAUAUAGGUGGACACUGAAUUUGUUUGUGGCAACUAAUACACUUUAUUUGAAUCUUUGCCUCACAAAUAAUACAGAAAUUUCAAAUACAUGCAGAUUAAACCUUUAUGCUUUUGUGGCUUCUCUCUUAAGGAAGACUGCCAAAAAGGUUUCUGAAGCAUGGCGUGGUAGGUAGGUUUUACUGACAUUUAUUUGGCUGCAUUACUCAUUACCAGUUUGACUAAUGGGGAGGACACCCUGUAUGUUGUCAUUACUAUUUUUAUCCAUCAGCACAAGAUGAU